This 466-nucleotide ribosomal RNA is filed under the name uncultured bacterium. RNAcentral's name for it is "partial 16S ribosomal RNA". It matches the Rfam family "Bacterial small subunit ribosomal RNA", at positions 28 to 507 of the family's 1533-position model. The record is from RNAcentral.
GAUGAACGCUGGCGGCGUGCUUAACACAUGCCAGCCGAACGGAAAGGCUCCUGCUUGCAGGGGUACUCGAGUGGCGAACGGGUGAGUAACACGUGGGUGAUCUGCCCUGCACUUCGGGAUAAGCCUGGGAAACUGGGUCUAAUACCGGAUAGGACCAUCGUUUAGUGUCGGUGGUGGAAAGUUUUUUCGGUGUGGGAUGAGCUCGCGGCCUAUCAGCUUGUUGGUGGGGUAAUGGCCUACCAAGGCGUCGACGGGUAGCCGGCCUGAGAGGGUGUACGGCCACAUUGGGACUGAGAUACGGCCCAGACUCCUACGGGAGGCAGCAGUGGGGAAUAUUGCACAAUGGGCGCAAGCCUGAUGCAGCGACGCCGCGUGGGGGAUGACGGCCUUCGGGUUGUAAACUCCUUUCGCCAGGGACGAAGCGAAAGUGACGGUACCUGGAUAAGAAGCACCGGCUAACUACGUG